AAGUACGGUAUGAUGAACGUUUUGAAAGAGGAGCUUCUGAGAUCAAUUUGAUGCUCGAUCGAUGAGUCUUAUAGGAGGGACUGUCCAGCUGAUAUCUACUCGGGUAACACAUCCUUGAAAUGUUGCAAGAAUGGAACAAUAGAACUAAGAGGAUAGGCUGACUCGACUCGUUAGUUGAAAAUGAAACAUCUUUGCGCAGUAACAGACCGUACAGGCGGCCGGAGCAAGGUGUCCUAUUGUUCAGGACGCAAAAAAUUAGGGGCCCUAAAUCUAACCUUAAGAUUAAGAGAAAAGUCUAUUUUAAACACUGAUUUGUAGACAAAAUCUAAAUCGGACUUUAACCUUUUAAUCACUAAAUUUCGAACCCUGGCCUUACUGAUCCCGGUUAAUUAAAUCCCUUAAGCCCAGAAACCGUGUUUGGUUGAUCGUUUUCACUAACAGGUUUUGGGAUUGAUGAGUAGUCUUAAAAAUUCUCAUGAUUUGCGUCUAUGUCACUGCUACAUAAUGGAUCAUUAGUAACGAGCGUAAAAUAUAACAUUAGUAGCAGACGUCUCACCCGCCGCAACCUCCAUGCUAGUGACGAAGUGCAAAUCAGUGGCGAGAAGGCCACCCGUUACUGAUGGGGUGCGGUCACGCCACACACAUGGGGAUUAGAAGAAAAUAAAAAAUAAAUCACAAAAAUAAAUUGCUCGCUUGUCAAGCUCCGCCGCUGCCGCUCCGGGCCCCACGCGCGACGUUGCUCCUACAUGCGCCGCCAGUUCACCAAACGGAUUUUCUAGAAAUAAAUGCAUUAAGUAAUUAGGAUUCGUAAGGUUAGGGUUCGAGGUUAGGGUUCAAUUCAGACUUUGCCUAAAAGAUCAGAGUUUAACGUAGAAAUCCCGACCGGGAUCAUCCUUUUCCUAGCGUGGCAAACAGUUUUAAGGUAAUAAUUGACCGGAUUAAAAAGGUCAGGAUCCCGAUUUUAGGGAUUAAGAAGUCAGGGUUCAUUUCGGUCGUCGUCUACAAGUACAGGGUUGAAAGCGGACUUUUCUUGAAGAUUAAUUAUCUAUGCUUAACUAACAUCAGGUUUUCAGGUCCAUUAAAUAAAAAAAAAGCCCGUAAAAACAAGGGCAGAGGAUUAAAGGCCUGCCUAGCUAGCUGCUUUUCAGCAUUUCAUCGUACCAUCGUGUUCGGCCGGAACUAUUAGCGAUAUGUCAUGAUAUAUUCCCUACCAUUUCAACACAAAUACUGAAAGAUGAUGCUUUUCAGUGGAACAUGAAAAAUUGCAGCUUCAACACAACCUUUAUUAUACAAUGUUUACCAGUCCUUUUUCGGAGUCAAAGAAGCAUCCAGAGUUACCCGAGAGAAAAAAAGGCUCCCGCCCUAGCCGCCACCUACUGCCCGCUCCAGAUCGUUCUCGUCUCCCGGCCAGCCGGGAACGACGCCUGACGUGGUUAUGACUAAUCACAUAUUCGACUCGAGUAUACCCGGUAUAGCCCAGCUGAGGCCCACAAGGAAGUCUACUUCGACUACAAGAGUCUACA
RNAcentral lists this long non-coding RNA (1523 nucleotides) under Brachypodium distachyon (stiff brome). Its description in RNAcentral is "long non-coding RNA (BDIS_LNC004747)". Lineage: Eukaryota; Viridiplantae; Streptophyta; Magnoliopsida; Poales; Poaceae. The record is from RNAcentral.